Acinetobacter towneri is the source of this 197-nucleotide non-coding RNA. NCBI's taxonomy places the organism in Bacteria, Pseudomonadati, Pseudomonadota, Gammaproteobacteria, Moraxellales, Moraxellaceae. The record is from Rfam.
CGCAUCGCCGGGUAGCUAUGUUCGGAAGGGAUAACCGCUGAAAGCAUCUAAGCGGGAAGCCUACCUCAAGAUAAGAUUUCCCCGAGGCUUUAUGCCUCCUAAAGAGCCGUUGAAGACUACGACGUUGAUAGGUUGGAUGUGGAAGCAUAGCGAUAUGUGAAGCUGACCAAUACUAAUUGCUCGUGAGGCUUGACUAU